UGGGGAAUAUUGCACAAUGGGCGCAAGCCUGAUGCAGCCAUGCCGCGUGUGUGAAGAAGGCCUUCGGGUUGUAAAGCACUUUCAGCGGGGAGGAAGGCGGUGAGGUUAAUAACCUCACCGAUUGACGUUACCCGCAGAAGAAGCACCGGCUAACUCCGUUCCAGCAGCCGCGGUAAUACGGAGGGUGCAAGCGUUAAUCGGAAUUACUGGGCGUAAAGCGCACGCAGGCGGUCUGUCAAGUCGGAUGUGAAAUCCCCGGGCUCAACCUGGGAACUGCAUGCGAAACUGGCAGGCUAGAGUCUUGUAGAGGGGGGUAGAAUUCCAGGUGUAGCGGUGAAAUGCGUAGAGAUCUGGAGGAAUACCGGUGGCGAAGGCGGCCCCCUGGACAAAGACUGACGCUCAGGUGCGAAAGCGUGGGGAGCAAACAGG
RNAcentral lists this ribosomal RNA (429 nucleotides) under Chloroflexota bacterium. Its description in RNAcentral is "Chloroflexi bacterium partial 16S ribosomal RNA". It matches the Rfam family "Bacterial small subunit ribosomal RNA", at positions 355 to 776 of the family's 1533-position model. The record is from RNAcentral. Lineage: Bacteria; Bacillati; Chloroflexota.